RNAcentral lists this ribosomal RNA (422 nucleotides) under uncultured Coriobacteriaceae bacterium. RNAcentral's name for it is "bacterial SSU rRNA". It matches the Rfam family "Bacterial small subunit ribosomal RNA", at positions 355 to 794 of the family's 1533-position model. Lineage: Bacteria; Bacillati; Actinomycetota; Coriobacteriia; Coriobacteriales; Coriobacteriaceae. The record is from RNAcentral.
UGGGGAAUUUUGCGCAAUGGGGGCAACCCUGACGCAGCGACGCCGCGUGCGGGACGAAGUCAUUCGUGACGUAAACCGCUUUCAGCGAGGAAGAACCAUGACGGUACUCGCAGAAGAAGCCCCGGCUAACUACGUGCCAGCAGCCGCGGUAAUACGUAGGGGCGAGCGUUAUCCGGAAUCAUUGGGCGUAAAGCGCGCGCAGGCGGGCUUUCAAGCGGCGGCGUCGAAGCCGGGGGCUCAACCCCCGGAAGUGCCCCGAACUGGAAGCCUCGGAUGCGGCAGGGGGAGGCGGAAUUCCCGGUGUAGCGGUGAAAUGCGCAGAUAUCGGGAAGAACACCGACGGCGAAGGCAGCCUCCUGGGCCGGCAUCGACGCUGAGGCGCGAAAGCUGGGGGAGCGAACAGGAUUAGAUACCCUGGUAGU